Molecule: unclassified non-coding RNA, 21 nt
Filed under: synthetic construct
Source: RNAcentral
GCACCAGAGCCAAUGGAACUU